Molecule: transfer RNA, 73 nt
Filed under: Richelia sp. RM2_1_2
Lineage: Bacteria; Bacillati; Cyanobacteriota; Cyanophyceae; Nostocales; Nostocaceae
Description: tRNA-Arg
Rfam family: tRNA
About the family: Transfer RNA (tRNA) molecules are approximately 80 nucleotides in length. Their secondary structure includes four short double-helical elements and three loops (D, anti-codon, and T loops). Further hydrogen bonds mediate the characteristic L-shaped molecular structure. tRNAs have two regions of fundamental functional importance: the anti-codon, which is responsible for specific mRNA codon recognition, and the 3' end, to which the tRNAs corresponding amino acid is attached (by aminoacyl-tRNA synthetases). tRNAs cope with the degeneracy of the genetic code in two manners: having more than one tRNA (with a specific anti-codon) for a particular amino acid; and 'wobble' base-pairing, i.e. permitting non-standard base-pairing at the 3rd anti-codon position.
Source: RNAcentral
ACCUCCGUAGCUCAGUGGAAAGAGCGCUGCCGUGCGAAGGCAGAGGUCGUAGGUUCGAUUCCUACCGGGGGUG